This is a long non-coding RNA of Canis lupus familiaris (dog), 1801 nucleotides long. RefSeq lists it as uncharacterized. The transcript has 6 exons. The record is from RefSeq and is a predicted model, not a curated record. NCBI's taxonomy places the organism in Eukaryota, Metazoa, Chordata, Mammalia, Carnivora, Canidae.
UAUAGCUGCCAAGAAAGGAAAUAUCGCCUCGCAGAAGAGACUAGCUGGAGAUGUGGGGCAGUUCUUUCUGCGUCUUUGUCCAGCGCCGGUGUGGCUGAAGGCUCUUGGAGAUAUUCCAUUUCCUGCUGAAAACUUUGAGUGAGGAUUAUCGCCUUUUCCUACGCUUUUCUCUUAGAAUCUCAAAGGCCUGCCUGCUGGUGUGGAAAAGGCUUCCAGAAUAGCUCUUGCUCACUUUGGGUGAGAUGCUUAUGGUCGGCUAGAGAAAAGUGUUGGAACCUGCCUUACUCAUCCUUGACUAUGUGGAUAUCCACUUUCCUCAAAAUCCAAGCCUAAGAGAGAAAGUGCCAGACUUGCUCUUCCUGCAGCCUCCAUGAGUCAGCCUCAUUGGGCCUACUUUCCUCUUUGGAGACAUUUUACUUCUGUAGGCGGACUUUCUCUACUCACAGGGCCAGACACUGACUCUUCUAGCAACAAACGACCAUGUGAGAUGUGCUUUUAUAAGACUUGCUUUCAGAAUGCUUAUCACAUCAAUAUUCCCUACUGCCAAUUUGGAAAAUAAUUAAAGAAACCACCUCCCAAAUAACAAAGAGGAGGGAACAGAAAACCACAAACACUUUCCUCAAUGAUACUAAGAGAUGCCCAGUACCUGAACCAACCAUCUUUGAGUUGCCAAAGAUGAGGAAGGCGAUGCUGGCACAGAGAAUUGUGACAAGAAGACAGCUAGUCCCAGAAAGGCUUGGAAUAACCACAGGAGAACUGAGCCAAAGUGGCUUCAGACUUCAGGACCCAGGCAAAGUAGAACUUGGAGUAAGAUCUGGACGGAACACAGAGGAUUAAGUGACUGAUGAUAUCCCCAUCACUUCCCCCACUGGGUUCCCAGCAUGCCUACAGUCUGCUCCCCAGAGAAGAGGUGUCCACCUCAGAGGGAACCAUCCCAGGAGAAAAGACUCAUUGAGAUAGGAGAUAAUUGUGUAUAUCAAUCUGCAAAUAUAGAGGAAAUCUCUCCAUUUGGAAAUACAUCACAUCACACAGAGAAGGCUUAUCACCUCCACCGCCAUUUGAUGCUACCGUCUGGAGGCCAAGGCUUUGCCGUCUUUAAGGGCAAAUAACCAAAGAUGCUGUUGAGAAAAGUUCCACUGGAUUCAUGCUUCACCUUAUAGAAUGCAAAAAAGGCUUGACUCUGAUUAUUGCAUAACUGAACAGGAUGGAAAGAGGGGAGCUCUUGUACGUAUUAGAAGCUUCAUUCGACGGCCAUAAUGGAGAUGCUGCUGGUGACAAUGCUUUCGACAUUCUUCCCCAUGAUACACUGAUGUAGCCAAACUUUAGAAAGUCUCCAACUCUCUGAUGAAUAAAGUCUUUAAACAAAUGAAAAAUAAGAAAGCAUCUGGAAAUGAUAUCAUCCCUGCCAAAUUUUCAUGCUGGAGGAAAAAUGACUCAUGUAAUCUCCCUGUAUUCUCUUCUUGAGAAACAAGAAUAAAAGAGAAAAUGACAUAUGACUCUAGGGAUAUGGGGAGCACGGGUUUUAUGUAAUGAUAUACAUCCAAUGGCAGGAUAGAUACCCAUUUCUGAACCACCUGCAGAGCAUAUGUUUUAGAAAAAGAGUUUUCAUAAACAAGUGUCCAUGGGAGAACUCUCAUUUCUAUUUUGGAAAGAGAAUAAUUUCAUUUCUUAAAGGUGGGUAUUUUGACAUGGAGAUUUCACUUCUCUCUGUUUCAUCUAGUCUCUAAAGUUUUUCUUAGAAAGUACUGUAUAAAUGUAUUUCACUCCACUUUUAGAUGUUCUAGUUGAGGAAAGAAGCUCA